CUACGGGCAUAGACGAGAUAUUGUCGUCAUACCUAAUGAAUAUUCCGCAUCCGAGAGCUCAAGCGAGCGUUCAUGGGCCAAAACAACUGCGAUUGUAAUUCGAGUUACGUGGGACACAAACGAUGCUUCAAGGUUCGCUACGGUGAAAGCCCAUGGCAUAACGAGCCGACGCCGAGCGAAUGAUACACGAUUGGGCAACAUAAUUCCGUAUAGUAGGCAUUCAACACGGGAAACCAUAGAAAACAGGCAGCCAAGGCAAGGUGCCCUUGUACCAUCAAAUGAAGAGGAACGCACGGCUG
Molecule: unclassified non-coding RNA, 299 nt
Filed under: Lasianthus yalaensis
Lineage: Eukaryota; Viridiplantae; Streptophyta; Magnoliopsida; Gentianales; Rubiaceae
Description: partial external transcribed spacer
Source: RNAcentral